RNAcentral lists this ribosomal RNA (676 nucleotides) under uncultured bacterium. Its description in RNAcentral is "bacterial SSU rRNA". It matches the Rfam family "Bacterial small subunit ribosomal RNA", at positions 74 to 725 of the family's 1533-position model. The record is from RNAcentral.
UCAUAGCAAUAUGGUGAGUAAAGUGGCGCACGGGUCCGUAACACGUGGGUAAUCUGUCCUUGGGUGGGGAAUAACCUGUCGAAAGACGAGCUAAUACCCCAUAAGACCACGGGAUCUUUGGAUCCUGGGGUCAAAGGUGGCCCCUAUUUAUAAGCUAUCGCCUGAAGAGGAGCUCGCGCACCAUCAGCUAGUUGGUGGGGUAAUGGCUCACCAAGGCGUAGACGCGUAGCUGGUCUGAGAGGAUGAUCAGCCACACUGGCACUGAAACACGGGCCAGACUCCUACGGGAGGCAGCAGUGGGGAAUAUUGGUCAAUGGGCGCAAGCCUGAACCAGCCACGCCGCGUGAGUGAUGAAGGCCUUCGGGUUGUAAAGCUCUGUGGGGAGGGACGAAAACGGUCCGGAAGAAACGACGGAUCCUUGACGGUACCUUUUUAGCAAGCACCGGCUAACUCUGUGCCAGCAGCCGCGGUAAGACAGAGGGUGCGAACGUUGUUCGGAAUUACUGGGCGUAAAGCGCGUGUAGGCUGCUCCGCAAGUCGGGUGUGAAAGCCCGGGGCUCAACCCCGGAAGUGCACUCGAAACUGCAGAGCUGGAGUCUUGGAGAGGGAAGCGGAAUUCUGGGUGUAGAGGUGAAAUUCGUAGAUAUCCAGAGGAACACCGGUGGCGGAAGGCGGC